RNAcentral lists this ribosomal RNA (249 nucleotides) under uncultured bacterium. RNAcentral's name for it is "partial 16S ribosomal RNA". It matches the Rfam family "Bacterial small subunit ribosomal RNA", at positions 523 to 769 of the family's 1533-position model. The record is from RNAcentral.
ACACGUAAGGGGCGAGCGUUGUUCGGAAUUAUUGGGCGUAAAGCGCGUGUAGGCGGUUUGUUAAGUCUGAUGUGAAAGCCCCGGGCUCAACCUGGGAAGUGCAUUAAGGAUACUGGCAGACUUGAAUACGGGAGAGGGCAGUGGAAUUCCUGGUGUAGGAGUGAAAUCCGUAGAUAUCAGGAGGAACACCGGUGGCGAAGGCGGCUGCCUGGACCGAUAUUGACGCUGAGACGCGAAAGCGUGGGUAGC